RNAcentral lists this ribosomal RNA (429 nucleotides) under Verrucomicrobiota bacterium. RNAcentral's name for it is "Verrucomicrobia bacterium partial 16S ribosomal RNA". It matches the Rfam family "Bacterial small subunit ribosomal RNA", at positions 355 to 776 of the family's 1533-position model. Lineage: Bacteria; Pseudomonadati; Verrucomicrobiota. The record is from RNAcentral.
UAGGGAAUCUUCGGCAAUGGGGGGAACCCUGACCGAGCAACGCCGCGUGAGUGAAGAAGGUUUUCGGAUCGUAAAGCUCUGUUGUUAAGGAAGAACGAGUGUGAGAAUGGAAAGUUCAUGCUGUGACGGUACUUAACCAGAAAGGGACGGCUAACUACGUGCCAGCAGCCGCGGUAAUACGUAGGUCCCGAGCGUUGUCCGGAUUUAUUGGGCGUAAAGCGAGCGCAGGCGGUUAGAAAAGUCUGAAGUGAAAGGCAGUGGCUCAACCAUUGUAGGCUUUGGAAACUGUUUAACUUGAGUGCAGAAGGGGAGAGUGGAAUUCCAUGUGUAGCGAUGAAAUGCGUAGAUAUAUGGAGGAACACCGGUGGCGAAAGCGGCUUUUUGGCCUGCAACUGACACUGAGGCGCGAAAGCGUGGGGAGCAAACAGG